UACGGAGGGUGCAAGCAUUAAUCGGAAUUAUUGGGCGUAAAGGGCGCGUAGGCGGGUAAGUAAGUCAGAUGUGAAAUUCCGGGACUCAAUUCCGGAGCUGCAUUUGAAACUGCUUGUCUUGAGGAUUGGCGGAGAGAACGGAAUUCCACGUGUAGCGGUGAAAUGCGUAGAUAUGUGGAAGAACACCGGUGGCGAAGGCGGCCUGCUGGGCAGUGGCUGACGCUGAGGCGCGACAGCGUGGGGAGCAAACAGG
RNAcentral lists this ribosomal RNA (253 nucleotides) under uncultured bacterium. RNAcentral describes it as "partial 16S ribosomal RNA". It matches the Rfam family "Bacterial small subunit ribosomal RNA", at positions 524 to 776 of the family's 1533-position model. The record is from RNAcentral.